AGUUAGAAAGCGAAAAUUUGCUUUUAGUUUCGACCUAAAUCUUGAUCUACAUAAUGAUCUCUGACUU
RNAcentral lists this transfer RNA (67 nucleotides) under Shinkaia crosnieri. RNAcentral's name for it is "tRNA-Arg". Lineage: Eukaryota; Metazoa; Arthropoda; Malacostraca; Decapoda; Munidopsidae. The record is from RNAcentral.